UCCACGAAGCUAGCAGAGCUCUAGUGGUGAUUUCGUGAACUUGUUUCCCGUGUUAAUGAAAGUGAAAAGUGAGGCUGCGGAGCGAUGUAUGUUUUUUCGUGUUAUAAGGUCACCGUGACGUAGACUGGAGACGCAGAAAAGAAAGUCUUAAAUCGAAACUACUAUCGAGACAGCGUAUAAGGCUUAGUUCUCCAAGUUAGCUAUCAUGCAAAAGCAACGAAAGUUUUUUAAUUUUAAACUAAGGCAUGACGGCCGAUGGCAUAUCCCGUUACCGUCGGGGCCUUUCACGGUGGGCUGCACAGACAUCAUGACCAGUUAUUCCAAGUCCGGGAUAUUUGUGAGAUUGUUUUACCCUGCAGCUCAGAAUGGUAUUUUGGAACGUAGCUCUCAAUGGCCUCUUAUGAUUCCUCAUCCACUGUACCUCGAGGGUAUUGCAGAUUUUCUUGGGUUUCCACCUUCAGUUAUUCGUUUUGUGAACCGACACUUCAUUGGUAAUGUUCACUGCCCUGCUUUGUGGAAUGCUGCCCCGAUGACAGAAAGUCGCAAGUUCCCAGUUGUUGUUUUCUCUCACGGUCUUGGAUGUUGUCGUACUUCAUAUAGUACCAUUUGUCUAGAGCUGGCCUCCAAUGGCUAUAUUGUGGCAGCAGUCGAACAUAGAGAUUAUUCAGCUUGUUUAUCGUCUUAUGUCAUAAAAGAAACGCGAUCGAACUUUGAAGACACGCCUGACAUUAAAGGUAGUGAUAACGAAGAUAGUAACUAUAAACAUAUCGAAGACUUAGUCAAAAAGACGAAUGACUUUAAAGUGAAUACUGCUGUCACGGAAGUAGACUUUGAAGAUGUACGACCUGAGCUCAAGUACUUGGGGAGUCAAAACCAGUAUCUUGGUAUUCCACAUACAUCGAGGAAAUGGGUUUAUUACCGUCAACUUAAGAAAAGUGCAAAUGAAUACAAAGUUCGCCACAACCAAACAAAACAGCGAGCUUAUGACUGUAUUCAAGUACUGGACCUUCUGGAAGCCCUAAACAAUGGUCUUCCCAUACACAAUGUGAUCAACCUUUCUUUCCAAGCCAGUCAAUUUAAAGGAAUUAUGGACCUCUCCAGAGCUGCAGUGGCCGGACACUCGUUUGGGGGCACCACUGUUGUUCUCUCGCUUGCACUGGAUCUCCGAUUCAAGAUAGGCUUAGCCCUAGAUUCAUGGAUGUUCCCGUUACAGAAGAACCAAGAGAUUUUUUCUAAAGUGACUCAGCCCAUAUUGUUCGUUAAUAUGGAGAAGUUUCAGACACUAGAGAACCUGAGAGUCAUGAAAAAUUUGGAAUCCAAAAAAGUCGAUCGCAAAGUAGUAACUGUCAAAGGUGCAGUCCAUAUGAACCAAAUUGAUGUAGUAUUUGGGCUUGGUCCAAUCUUACGAAUGUGUAUCGGGGCUUAUUCUCGAGUCAACCGCUUCACAGUCAUUGACCUCACCACACGUCAUAUGUUGGUGUUUUUAUCAAAGCAUUUCGGUAUACCAGCGCAACAAGAGCACGAGAUUUAUAUGAAAAGAAAUAAGAAGAAAAUCAAAGAAGGGAUUAUUCUAAAGAAAUCUCAACUAAUUUAAAUUUAGGGAAAACGAAACGAAAAUUUCCCUUCCAAUUCCCUGUUAACUAAUUACGAGCAAGGAUAAUAAGAAGUACAGAGACUAUGGGAUUAGUGAUUUUUCUUUUUUUUUCUAUGAAUGAAUCCAUUAAACCCAACUUAUAAGAAUCAACGAGAAUGUAAAUUCCCCAACUAAAGGCAGCUCUUGAGUAACACUAUUUCGUGUUUGAUCAUACACGAUGUUGUUGAUUUAUGUUAUACUCUUGUAACAAUGAAUUAUAUAUAUAUCUCAUCUUGAACCUGUAUCUGUUUACCAUACAAUAAAUGUUAUAUAUCUAACUA
Molecule: unclassified non-coding RNA, 1914 nt
Filed under: Limulus polyphemus (Atlantic horseshoe crab)
Lineage: Eukaryota; Metazoa; Arthropoda; Merostomata; Xiphosura; Limulidae
Description: platelet-activating factor acetylhydrolase-like, transcript variant X1
Source: RNAcentral